This is an RNA transcript of Scophthalmus maximus (turbot), 1566 nucleotides long. It is a transcript of the gene named chondrolectin, with no coding region annotated. NCBI's taxonomy places the organism in Eukaryota, Metazoa, Chordata, Actinopteri, Pleuronectiformes, Scophthalmidae. The record is from RefSeq and is a predicted model, not a curated record. The transcript has 8 exons.
CAUUUCAGUCCGUCGCCGCAGCGACAGUCAGACACAACGAGCAGAGAUGGAAAUGAAUCCCAAGGACUUUUGUUUUGAAAUUUCACCAGAGACAUCAAAUCUUCACACAAACCAAUUCUUUUUUUAAUAUUUGUUAUUAUUUAUAUUCAUUGUCAACAAGUCGGAACGAUGUGGUUUCACCCAGUGACGCUGUGGGUCCUCGGGGUUGUCAUGGCGAUGGCGGAUGGAGCGCGGGUGCUGAGUGGUCAGACGGUGUGUUCAGGUGCAGGUCGUCCCUGCUACAAGAUCGCGUACUUCCACGACGUGUCGAGCCGCGUAGCGUUCAUGGAGGCGCGUCGGGCCUGCGAGGUGGACGGAGGCUCGCUGCUCAGCAUCGAGAGUCCAGCCGAGCAGACGGACAUCGAACGCCUGCUGCAGGAGCUGCGCUCUGGAGCAGUGGGUGGGGUCGGAGCAGCUCCAGGGGGCGGCGGCAUAGCGGAUGGUGAUUUCUGGAUCGGUCUGACGCGGGCGGACGGAAUCGACCAGACUCAUCCUGAGCUCACCAACACGUUCACUUCCUGUUCGCAGCUGUACCAGUGGACCGACGGCAGCCCAGCCACCUUCAGGAACUGGUAUUUUGAUGAGCCGUCUUGCGGAGGAGAGGCCUGCGUCGUCAUGUACCAUCAGCCGACUGCACUUCCUGGUCUGGGCGGGGCUUAUCUCCACCAAUGGAAUGAUGACCGCUGCAACAUGAAACACAACUUCAUCUGCAAAUACAAACCAGAGACUCAUGAUGUGAUUCGUCACACACCUGGGGGGCGGAGCACAGAGACGACGGCAGGAGGGGGUGUGGUCAGACAGGCUGCGGGCAGCGAGGAGGUGCGGCCUCAGGUCACCGUGGCUGGAGCUUCAGGCAUGUUACUGGUCUACGUGAUCAUUCCCACAAUCCCCCUGCUGCUGCUCAUCCUGGUGGCUUCUGGGACAUGUUGUUUUCAGAUGCUCAGCAGAAGGUGAGAGACUCCAACUCCCAGCAGCCUCUGCUCCUCCUGCUGCUGCUGAGGAUGCAGUCGUCCUCGCAGUAAGACCGCCCCCGACCAAUCAAACCUGUGGAUCUCCACGACGCCCAAAGCCGAGAGCAUGGAAGACUGAAAACUCCGCCCCCCCGACAUCAGCGACAUCAGAGCAGCAUCAGAACGCCACUGGCAGAGGGAUGACAUCACCUCACAGCUAAGCCAAUCAUCAUCCUCAUUGUGACAUUUAGGCUCAGAGGGAGGAUGUCAUCAGAUGCUUUGAUUUUACCACACUUAGUUUUCUGUGUAUUUGUACUGCAUCUGUACUGACAGAGUACACACACUCACCUGGUUGGUUCCUGUUUCCUGUGGUUGUUGUCUUAGUGUUGACUGUCACAAACACUUAAUCUCAAGACGACGUUGAUUUAUUUAACAUAAACGAGGCUGCUGGAUUUUAGUUUUUCAUAUUCUCGACUUGGUCCCUCAGUGAUGUCACUGAUGAUGUCACUGUCAACUUGUGUACCUGAACUUCUUCUUCUUCAAACAUCAGAUAAUAAACCAUGUGUCACAGACUCAG